This is a non-coding RNA of Rattus norvegicus (Norway rat), 416 nucleotides long. The record is from RefSeq and is a predicted model, not a curated record. NCBI's taxonomy places the organism in Eukaryota, Metazoa, Chordata, Mammalia, Rodentia, Muridae.
UGUGUCAUGCUCAGCUUACAAUGACUAGAGGACCUAAGCCUGAGAGUCACCAAUGCCUCUCCCUUGCUUCUCCAGCUGCUGAGCAUUGAAAAGCCCUAAUGGGACAGCAUCUGUUUGCAGACAUACUGGAUUAUUCUUCUUCACUUUAUCUCUCUGAGUCACCUCCACUCACAGUCCACGUUAAGAACAAAUGAAAUGGGAAUCACCAUCUGAACAACUAAUUAUCACCUACUCAGCAUUUGUAGCCUAAUACUGUGCCUAUGGCAAUCUCAAGCUUCCCUGAGUGUUGCUGCCCCAGCAAGAAGAAUGAAGAACUGAGGUCAAACCCCAGUGAACCUUUCAAGGGGUUAGAAGAAAGCCAUCAGAGAUACUGCACUUCUUUGUCCUUAGAUUAAAUCAAGAUGAUACAACGUGAA